GAUCCUGGCUCAGGAUGAACGCUGGCGGCGUGCUUAACACAUGCAAGUCGAGCGAAGCACUUUUGCGGAUUUCUUCGGAUUGAAGCAAUUGUGACUGAGCGGCGGACGGGUGAGUAACGCGUGGGUAACCUGCCUCAUACAGGGGGAUAACAGUUGGAAACGGCUGCUAAUACCGCAUAAGCGCACAGUACCGCAUGGUACCGUGUGAAAAACUCCGGUGGUAUGAGAUGGACCCGNGU
This 239-nucleotide ribosomal RNA is filed under the name uncultured bacterium. Its description in RNAcentral is "partial 16S ribosomal RNA". It matches the Rfam family "Bacterial small subunit ribosomal RNA", at positions 15 to 236 of the family's 1533-position model. The record is from RNAcentral.